This 253-nucleotide ribosomal RNA is filed under the name uncultured bacterium. Its description in RNAcentral is "partial 16S ribosomal RNA". It matches the Rfam family "Bacterial small subunit ribosomal RNA", at positions 524 to 776 of the family's 1533-position model. The record is from RNAcentral.
UACGGAGGGAGCUAGCGUUGUUCGGAAUUACUGGGCGUAAAGCGCACGUAGGCGGCUUUGUAAGUUAGAGGUGAAAGCCCGGGGCUCAACCCCGGAAUUGCCUUUAAGACUGCAUCGCUUGAAUCCAGGAGAGGUGAGUGGAAUUCCGAGUGUAGAGGUGAAAUUCGUAGAUAUUCGGAGGAACACCAGUGGCGAAGGCGGCUCACUGGUCCAUUACUGACGCUGAGGUGCGAAAGCGUGGGGAGCAAACAGG